Molecule: non-coding RNA, 935 nt
Organism: Pelobates cultripes (western spadefoot toad)
Lineage: Eukaryota; Metazoa; Chordata; Amphibia; Anura; Pelobatidae
Source: the annotation of a GenBank genome assembly
CUCCAUUUUGCUAUCUUCAGGAUAACAAAGACACAUAAUUUACUUGCUUUCACUAACCACUGAGCCUGAGCUAAGGAAUGCAUUAUAUAAACACAGACACUAGUGACAGAGAAGACUAAGUAAUUAAUUUUACUUACUAAAUUUUAUAAGGUUUCAUUGUAAGUAAGGGGUGAAAUUGAGUUAAGAACUGUCAAUUUUAGAAAUUAAGAUCAAAGUAGUUGCCACAAAGAGUGAGACAAACGCUUUGAACUGACAGCAAAUUUAAGUUAUGGUAGUCAUUUUAGAUAAGCCGAAUGACGUCAAAAUCGUCAUCAGGAAAAGUUAACUCUUUCCUGGAUAGGAAGGUUUAGUAAGGCGAGUCUGCCUUCUAUGGACCAAAUACCUAAAUUGCGAUCCAUAGAUUGAACACACCUUCAGUUUCCUAUUGGCUUUAUCAACUAAUGACGUACAGAGAGUCUGGCCCUUUAAAAGUUAGGACAACGGGAAGAGAGAAGUUAGUUGGUGAAGUUUGGGAAUUCAGAUUCGGACAUGCAGAGAGAGAUUCAGGACACUCUCUGGAACUAACACUCAACUCUUAAACUCCUUGACACUUAAAAUUUACUGAUACUUCUAACCAACACCACUUUUCUCUAUUACUCACGUACCUCCAUACAACCAAUCAUACUCGCAAGUUCCUGGGACUACCUACUCAUCUGAUGAGAAUACCUACAUAACUGGUAAUUAUGCUGGUUUUAUUUAAUUAAUCUAAAUUAAUUAAAAUUUACUAAUAGCAUGAUAUAUGACUGGAUAAAUCACGGUCAGAUUUCAAUAUUUAGAAAUCUUAGUUAACUAAAGAAUAUAUAGUUAUAAACAUUCCAUUCUGCAGGUGGAAUUAAGAAUAAUUAUAUAUUAAUGUGAUAGUAUCACGUGUUAGCAUACAGCUGUUUUUAUCCAGG